AUGGCUCGUGGCGAUCAUCAAAAUGAUGAUGAUGAUUUCAUGGAUCCACCACAGCGUAAUCGGGCAACUGGACGGAGAAAAGAGGGUGAUGAGAAGAAGAAACGUAUUCGCAAUAGAGCCUCCCAAGAACGACUGACUGUGUUGACUGACAAAUUCACCGACGAUCAGAAGGGGGCUGCUGCUGAGAUGGGUACGCAGUCUAUGAUGGAUGUCUGGUGCACGAACCUUGUCAACCCUGUAUGCGACUGGCUUGGUGAGAUCUACGACCCCGCCUCCAGGGAAUUCGUGAUUCCGGGACGUGGAAGACUACCGUUGAAUGAGGAAUCCAUGUUCUGCACUUUGGGUGUGCCUCAUGGACAUAUGAAAGUCCCGUACGAGGCCAUGACGACGCAUGGAGAUGUUUUCAAGAUGAAGCUACUCAUGUACCUCAUCUCAACUGUUUUCGCUCCGACCACCUCUCUUCGCCCAAGCAACAAAUGCUUCCCCAUCCUACGGAUCUGGGAAAUGUGA
This 510-nucleotide ribosomal RNA is filed under the name Triticum aestivum (bread wheat). RNAcentral's name for it is "partial small subunit ribosomal RNA". The record is from RNAcentral. Lineage: Eukaryota; Viridiplantae; Streptophyta; Magnoliopsida; Poales; Poaceae.